AUGACUCUGAUCUCCGUCCUCAUCUGGACUGUCCUCUGCUGCUGCUUCACAGAGUCCAGAGGUCAGGUCACAGUGACUCAGCCUGGAGCAGUGAGCUCUGCUCGGGGAGCCUCCGUCUCCAUCAGCUGUAGGGUCAGCCCAAAAGUUACUGUUGGGUCAUCAAGUGGAAAAGAUCUUUUGUACUGGUAUCAACAGAGAGAUGGGGAUACUCCUAAACUACUAAUUACCAGAGCUGAUGAACGAGCAUCAGGGAUUCCAGAUCGUUUUUCAGGCAGUGGAUCAGGGACUGACUUCACUCUGACCAUCAGUGGAGUUGAGGCUGAAGAUGCAGCAGUUUAUUACUGUCAGAGUCGUCAUUAUAUCAACAGUCAGCGUGUGUGGACAUUUGGAAGUGCGCCACCAUAGACCUGAUGAUCCGAAAUACAGGGCAACGCACCACAGACGUCUGCAAAAUGGACUGAAUUCAGACCGAAUGCCGCCAGUUACCUACAGCUCCGAGGCGGCCGC
Molecule: non-coding RNA, 507 nt
Organism: Sander lucioperca (pikeperch)
Lineage: Eukaryota; Metazoa; Chordata; Actinopteri; Perciformes; Percidae
Source: the annotation of a RefSeq genome assembly